UGGGGAAUAUUGCACAAUGGGCGAAAGCCUGAUGCAGCAACGCCGCGUGAGUGAUGAAGGUCUUCGGAUUGUAAAGCUCUGUCUUUUGGGACGAUAAUGACGGUACCAAAGGAGGAAGCCACGGCUAACUACGUGCCAGUAGCCGCGGUAAUACGUAGGUGGCGAGCGUUGUCCGGAUUUACUGGGCGUAAAGGGUGCGUAGGCGGAUGUUUAAGUGAGAUGUGAAAUACCCGGGCUUAACUUGGGUGCUGCAUUUCAAACUGGAUAUCUAGAGUGCAGGAGAGGAGAAUGGAAUUCCUAGUGUAGCGGUGAAAUGCGUAGAGAUUAGGAAGAACACCAGUGGCGAAGGCGAUUCUCUGGACUGUAACUGACGCUGAGGCACGAAAGCGUGGGUAGCAAACAGGAUUAGAUACCCUGGUAGUCCACGCCGUAAACGAUGAGUACUAGGUGUAGGAGGUAUCGACCCCUUCUGUGCCGCAGUAAACACAUUAAGUACUCCGCCUGGGAAGUACGAUCGCAAGAUUAAAAC
This 529-nucleotide ribosomal RNA is filed under the name uncultured bacterium. RNAcentral describes it as "partial 16S ribosomal RNA". It matches the Rfam family "Bacterial small subunit ribosomal RNA", at positions 355 to 900 of the family's 1533-position model. The record is from RNAcentral.